Molecule: long non-coding RNA, 887 nt
Filed under: Olea europaea subsp. europaea
Lineage: Eukaryota; Viridiplantae; Streptophyta; Magnoliopsida; Lamiales; Oleaceae
Source: RNAcentral
CACAAUCUCAAAUAAUUUACCACAAAUUAACUAAUUUAUUAGUCACAGACAAUCAAAUAAUCGCCAUUCCACCCACAACCUCUGCCAUGAUCACCACCACCACCAUUGACCAGCACUGCCAACAUAACCACUACCUCACCACCGCAUCUAACAUCACAACCACCACCAUCCAAACACCACCAAAAAAAAUCAAAUCCAUUAUCAUCCAUCACCAGACCACCACCGCUACCUCUAGCACCAUCACCAUUUCAAACUACGACCAACCACCCAAGAAGCUUCAACACUUUUACCUAGAUAGCGCAACAAUAGUUGCAAAAAGGCGCUUACACAGUGCGCAACGUGGCUAAAAACCAUCGUCGUCCACCGCCAUCGCAACACUACUACCAACAACCACAAUUUACAACUACAAAACCACCACACAACAAAGUAAAAUUGCAAUGCAGAAUUCAAAGAAGACGGUCUCCAUAACGUCCUUCACGACGACAGUAACCUCUACAACAUCCAUCUCUAUAACCUCCCUCAUUAUGUCUCUCGCAAAAUCCACCACCUCCGUCUCGCGCGCUUCGCGUGGCCCUGGGGUUUUGAUUUGUCGAGUUGCUGCACCAGUGUUGGAUCUGUAGGGUUGUCGACAACAGUAGAAGGGAUAGGACAGUGGGCGACGAUGAGUUGUAGGUGGAAAAAGGGCGACGGUGGGGGAUCUACUUGCAACCAUACUAUAUAUAACUAUGUUGCGUUCGUCAAUUGUGCAUCACUGCAAGAGGAGCGGACUAACGUCUAAAAUUGAGGGAAUGGGUGCGUAGAUAGAGGUACAAAGAGAGAAGAUGGAAAGAAAAGAGUCAGAGUAAUGAUUAGGGUUUCGAUGUAAAAUUGGGGAUGGGAUAGAUGGG